ACUGCCCAGCUUGCACAGCAUUUGAAAGAAGUGACAAAGACCCUGAACGCUGUUGCAUCAUUUUAAUCCCCACACUGAAUUCUAAAUAAUAAAAUCCUGUGCGACUAAGACUGCAACCGGUCCCCUAAAAAAAAAGACGUUCCUUAUUAUAUAUAGAUGUGUGGACCUGUUGAGUAUAGUGGCGUGCUAAGGAAAAGUUGUGACUAUAUCGCCAACUUGUUGAUAGUGAGUGCUAGAGUUGUCCAGUAAGCGAGCUUUUAAUAGUUUGCCCUACACUUUCCAUAAGUAAACACUAUGGAAAAAACAGACGACACGCCACCCAAUACUAGCUCUAUAAAAACAGAAAAAAGGAUGGUUACCAUCAAAUGUAGCGUGUUGAAAUCAAAGUGCCUUUCAGUCGUUGUCUUUUGCUCAAAUACCAUUUGAAAAUUAACGUAAUA
Schizosaccharomyces pombe (fission yeast) is the source of this 440-nucleotide non-coding RNA. Lineage: Eukaryota; Fungi; Ascomycota; Schizosaccharomycetes; Schizosaccharomycetales; Schizosaccharomycetaceae. The record is from the annotation of a GenBank genome assembly.